RNAcentral lists this ribosomal RNA (1221 nucleotides) under metagenome. Its description in RNAcentral is "bacterial SSU rRNA". It matches the Rfam family "Bacterial small subunit ribosomal RNA". The record is from RNAcentral.
GAAGAGUUUGAUCCUGGCUCAGAUUGAACGCUGGCGGCAUGCUUUACACAUGCAAGUCGAACGCGGUCGAGGGGUAACUCUUGACUGAGUGGCAACCCUGAUCCAGCCAUGCCGCGUGAGUGAAGAAGGCCUUCGGGUUGUAAAGCUCUUUCGGACGGAACGAAACGGCCGCUGUUAAUACCGGCAGUCACUGACGGUACCGUAAGAAGAAGCACCGGCUAACUACGUGCCAGCAGCCGCGGUAAUACGUAGGGUGCGAGCGUUAAUCGGAAUUACUGGGCGUAAAGCGUGCGCAGGCGGCUCUUUAAGUCAGAUGUGAAAGCCCCGGGCUUAACCUGGGAACUGCGUUUGAAACUGGAGGGCUAGAGUGUGGCAGAGGGAGGUGGAAUUCCACGUGUAGCAGUGAAAUGCGUAGAGAUGUGGAGGAACACCAAUGGCGAAGGCAGCCUCCUGGGCCAACACUGACGCUCAUGCACAAAAGCGUGGGGAGCAAACAGGAUUAGAUACCCUGGUAGUCCACGCCCUAAACGAUGUCAACUGGUUGUUGGGGAAGGAAACUUUCUUAGUAACGAAGCUAACGCGUGAAGUUGACCGCCUGGGGAGUACGGCCGCAAGGUUAAAACUCAAAGGAAUUGACGGGGACCCGCACAAGCGGUGGAUUAUGUGGAUUAAUUCGAUGCAACGCGAAAAACCUUACCUACCCUUGACAUGCCAGGAAGCCCGAUGAGAGUUGGGUGUGCCCGAAAGGGAGCCUGGACACAGGUGCUGCAUGGCUGUCGUCAGCUCGUGUCGUGAGAUGUUGGGUUAAGUCCCGCAACGAGCGCAACCCUUGUCAUUAAUUGCCAUCAUUUGGUUGGGCACUUUAAUGAGACUGCCGGUGACAAACCGGAGGAAGGUGGGGAUGACGUCAAGUCCUCAUGGCCCUUAUGGGUAGGGCUUCACACGUAAUACAAUGGCGCAUACAGAGGGUUGCGAAGCCGCGAGGUGGAGCCAAUCCCAGAAAGUGCGUCGUAGUCCGGAUUGUUCUCUGCAACUCGAGAGCAUGAAGUCGGAAUCGCUAGUAAUCGCGGAUCAGCAUGUCGCGGUGAAUACGUUCCCGGGUCUUGUACACACCGCCCGUCACACCAUGGGAGUGGGUUCCACCAGAAGUAGUUAGCCUAACCGCGAGGGGGGCGAUUACCACGGUGGGAUUCAUGACUGGGGUGAAGUCGUAACAAGGUA